This is a long non-coding RNA of Oreochromis aureus, 451 nucleotides long. RefSeq lists it as uncharacterized. The transcript has 3 exons. NCBI's taxonomy places the organism in Eukaryota, Metazoa, Chordata, Actinopteri, Cichliformes, Cichlidae. The record is from RefSeq and is a predicted model, not a curated record.
CCGCUGCCAGCUUCUGCAUCUCUUUCCUUUUGUAAAACCGAUUCAGAACCUUCAGCAGCUCAUCUGAAUCACAGACACAAACAGCAGAGACAAGAAGAUGUUGCAUCAUCUGAGAAAAUCAACUCCACCUUUAUAAUCAUUCCGGCUGGGUGAGCUCUAUUCCCACACCGCCGCCGUCUGCCUUCAGGGAGACGGGGACAAACAAGGAGGUGUCCGGAGGUUUCGGAGAGGAGCUGUUAGACGAAACAUCCCUGCUCCAGACCACUGUACCGGGUCGGGUGAGACCCUCAAGGACUACACAAAAAGCUUGCCAGGCUCACUCCAUACGGUCAGGUUUGUGGUUGGGCCAGAGUUGCUCCCCUGAGCUGCGUACUUCCGGCACACAAGAAGCCAAAGUAUAAGAAGGGCAAAGCCAGUGGUCAUCUCUGUAGAGACGCUGUGGAACAAGGCA